RNAcentral lists this long non-coding RNA (874 nucleotides) under Homo sapiens (human). RNAcentral's name for it is "novel transcript". The record is from RNAcentral. Lineage: Eukaryota; Metazoa; Chordata; Mammalia; Primates; Hominidae.
GCUUACAGGGGUCACAGACAUUCAGAUCAUGGCAGAACUGUCACAGAUGUUACUUUGUGAAAACACAAAGAAUAAUGUGUUUGGAGAGAUCAGUCUUCAAUUAGCUAUAUUUUCUAGGAGCCUACCUUUACUUAGCCUCACAACAUGGGCCUUAGCUUUAGCACUUAAUCUGCACAAAUACCUGGCUUAAGUGUUAUGACUGACUGGCUAUUCAACCAAACCAUACAAAUGACCAAUUCGGUAAGAAAGCAUGAACUUCAGUGUUGAACCAAAUCAACCAACCUCCUCAAUCCAAAUGGAGAGGAUAACAAAGGAAGCUGAGGAAGUCUGUUCUGGAGGCACCAUGACAAAGCACCAGACAGAAAGCAGUCACGUGUGGGGAGAUGAGCAGAGACACCACUUCUCAAGCACCUGAUUAUUCUUUCUCAGUAUUUAGAAGCAAAAAUUAUCCUUAAGAAAAACAACCGCAAACGCAACACAGGCUACACAGAUGAGAAAAUGGGGCUUGCAGAGCUCAAACCAUUACACCAUUCAGAAGCUGGCUUUGGUAUUACUUCAAGUUAUUCAAAACAGUCACCACUUGCUGAGCCUCUGAUGUCUCAUCUGUUGAAUGGGUACAUUUUCUUCCUGAUCCUUCCACCUCUAAACUUGUCUAUUUCCAAGGAUCUAUGGCAUCCAGGCAUAUGAUUUCAAGAGAGAAGGCUGAAAAGGAAGGUGACUGGAAUAUUAAGAACUGUGAGAUAUUCUGAGGAAACUCUAAUUUGUAAAUUGGUAGAAAUGCCAGUAAUUUGUUGGGAAUUGAAGACCCUCUGUAUUCAAGAGCGAAGCUUGGCAGCUGUGCACUGUUGUUUUAUAAAUCAAUAUUACAUCUGAA